Molecule: ribosomal RNA, 491 nt
Filed under: uncultured bacterium
Lineage: Bacteria
Description: partial 16S ribosomal RNA
Rfam family: Bacterial small subunit ribosomal RNA
Source: RNAcentral
AGUGAACGCUGGCGGUAGGCCUAACACAUGCAAGUCGAACGGCAGCACAGUAAGAGCUUGCUCUUACGGGUGGCGAGUGGCGGACGGGUGAGGAAUACAUCGGAAUCUACUUUUUCGUGGGGAUUAAGUAGGGAAACGUACGCUAAUACCGCAUACGACCUACGGGUGGAAGCAGGGGAACUUUGUACCUUGCUGGGUUUGAUGAGCCGAUGUCGGAUUAGCUAGUUGGCGGGGUAAAGGCCCACCAAGGCGACGAUCCGUAGGUGGGCUGAGAGGAUGAUCAGCCACACUGGAACUGAGACACGGUCCAGACUCCUACGGGAGGCAGCAGUGGGGAAUAUUGGACAAUGGGCGCAAGCCUGAUCCAGCCAUACCGCGUGGGUGAAGAAGGCCUUCGGGUUGUAAAGCCCUUUUGUUGGGAAAGAAAAGCAGCAGGUUAAUACCCCGCUGUUCUGACGGUACCCAAAGAAUAAGCACCGGCUAACUUCGUG